UGGGUACACUUAGAGCCCAGUUUGGAGGCAGUGUUAAUAGUCGAGCGUUUGGCCGCGCCGAUGGUUAGUGAAUC
This 74-nucleotide non-coding RNA is filed under the name unclassified sequences. RNAcentral describes it as "L13-Bacteroidia ribosomal protein leader". It matches the Rfam family "L13-Bacteroidia ribosomal protein leader". The record is from RNAcentral.